This 375-nucleotide ribosomal RNA is filed under the name uncultured organism. RNAcentral describes it as "partial 16S ribosomal RNA". It matches the Rfam family "Bacterial small subunit ribosomal RNA", at positions 527 to 896 of the family's 1533-position model. The record is from RNAcentral.
GUAGGUGGCAAGCGUUGUCCGGAAUUAUUGGGCGUAAAGCGCGCGCAGGCGGUUUUUUAAGGUCUGAUGUGAAAGCCCUACGGGCUCAACCGUGGAGGGUCAUUGGAAACUGGAGAACUUGAGUACAGAAGAGGAAAGCGGAAUUCCACGUGUAGCGGUGAAAUGCGUAGAGAUGUGGAGGAACACCAGUGGCGAAGGCGGCUUUCUGGUCUGUAACUGACGCUGAGGCGCGAAAGCGUGGGGAGCAAACAGGAUUAGAUACCCUGGUAGUCCACGCCGUAAACGAUGAGUGCUAAGUGUUAGGGGGUUUCCGCCCCUUAGUGCUGCAGCUAACGCAUUAAGCACUCCGCCUGGGGAGUACGGCCGCAAAGGCUG